CGAGCGGAUCCCAGUUCAGAAGGAACGUGGAAACUUUGCAAUUAACUUUAUAUACAUUUGUACAUUAUAGAUGACUAUUAUAAUGUGUUGACUGAAGAUUUAUUCUCUGAAAACAAGUCUCAUGCAGUUUAGCGUUUCAAGAGGACUUGUACACGUAUGAAAGCGCACUCACUUGGCGUCCUCGAUGAAGCGCGUGGCUUUGACGUAAUCGCCCUGCUGCUUGUAGAGUAAGCCCAGCUCAUAGAGGGUGAAGGGGAUCAGAUAGUGAUCGUAACGGAUGCGCUUCUCACUGUAAACACACCAAGCCAUCAUCGAACCUCCAGCUGACUCACAUCACAGCAACAAGCCACUCCAGUGACUUACAGUGACUUUACCGUAACUUAAAAAAAUAUCAAGAAAGUGGAGUGUUCACCUGCUCAGCACCUGUGUGAAGCAGAGCUCUGCCUGCAGUAAUCGGCCCAGAUGCUUCAAACACAAACCCUUCAGCAUCUGAACCAGACACUGAUCAUCAGGAUGAAACUCAGACGGCACGUUUACCCAGAAUCAGACUGACGUAAGUGUGGUAGAAGAGCAGCGUCAGCACACACAGGAUGGAUCUGAGACUGUGACUGCCAGCGCCGUCCCGCAGCUGCGACAAACCGAACUCCUGCAGGACACCAACAGU
Molecule: long non-coding RNA, 664 nt
Organism: Cyprinus carpio (common carp)
Lineage: Eukaryota; Metazoa; Chordata; Actinopteri; Cypriniformes; Cyprinidae
Exons: 3
Source: RefSeq, a predicted model, not a curated record